Molecule: ribosomal RNA, 421 nt
Filed under: uncultured bacterium
Lineage: Bacteria
Description: bacterial SSU rRNA
Rfam family: Bacterial small subunit ribosomal RNA
Source: RNAcentral
AUCUUCCGCAAUGGACGAAAGUCUGACGGAGCAACGCCGCGUGAGUGAAGAAGGUUUUCGGAUCGUAAAACUCUGUUGUUAGGGAAGAACGAGUGCCGUUCGAACAGGGCGGCACCUUGACGGUACCUAACCAGAAAGCCACGGCUAACUACGUGCCAGCAGCCGCGGUAAUACGUAGGUGGCAAGCGUUGUCCGGAUUUAUUGGGCGUAAAGCGCGCGCAGGUGGUUUCUUAAGUCUGAUGUGAAAGCCCACGGCUCAACCGUGGAGGGUCAUUGGAAACUGGGGAACUUGAGUGCAGAAGAGGAAAGUGGAAUUCCAAGUGUAGCGGUGAAAUGCGUAGAUAUUUGGAGGAACACCAGUGGCGAAGGCGACUUUCUGGUCUGUAACUGACACUGAGGCGCGAAAGCGUGGGGAGCAAAC